This 221-nucleotide ribosomal RNA is filed under the name uncultured bacterium. Its description in RNAcentral is "partial 16S ribosomal RNA". It matches the Rfam family "Bacterial small subunit ribosomal RNA", at positions 57 to 305 of the family's 1533-position model. The record is from RNAcentral.
GCAAGUCGAGCGCUUCACUUCGGUGAGGAGCGGCGGACGGGUGAGUAACGCGUGGGAACGUACCCUUUACUUCGGAAUAGCCACUGGAAACGGUGAGUAAUACCAAUGCGCCCUUAGGGGGAAAGAUUUAUCGGUAAAGGAUCGGCCCGCGUUAGAUUAGGUAGUUGGUGGGGUAAUGGCCUACCAAGUCUACGAUCUAUAGCUGGUUUUAGAGGAUGAUC